This 6744-nucleotide long non-coding RNA is filed under the name Mytilus galloprovincialis (Mediterranean mussel). Lineage: Eukaryota; Metazoa; Mollusca; Bivalvia; Mytilida; Mytilidae. The record is from RNAcentral.
GAGAAACGUAGACAUAUUUUUUUAUAUAAGAAAUGACGAGAAUGUGAUGUGUUACUUCGCUCUAUUUACAUAUAUGAAUUUUCAGUUACAUGCAUCCUUCAUUGGGUUGCAACAAAUGAUGUUUACUAUAGGAAAUCAAAAUAAUUCAUAUUAUGUAUAAUUUUCCUUUUCAGAACACAAAUACAGAUAUGUAGAGAAAUUGAAAAGAAAUGCAUAAAUGUUUAAAGGUAAGUUUUCAAGAGGUAUUUGUAUAACAUUAUUACUUAUAUUAUACAUCAAACGAAUCAAUAGUAGAUAAUGCUGAAAUGAAAAUUGCAAUGGUUGUUGUAAACAUAUGGUUUUUUUUAAGUCGAAAAAGCAGUAACGAAUACUUAGAUUUGUAAGGUUUAGUACAGCAACGAAACAAGUUGCAACAAAAAGGGACAAGGAGGCGAUAACUUUUAAGCUGAACUUGAUCGGUAACUACAAGAUUGAAUCAUAUUUUGAAUAUGAGCUUCAAUCUAUGCAUCACAAUCACAAUCUCUGAUAUAUUUGUCUGACAUAAAUCUACUAUAGUGUAUCCCUCUGCAGGGACUUUCUAUACUUAGUAUAGAAAGUCCCUGCCCUCUGUUUUUUUUUAUGGAACAAUAAGGCAUUAUACCAAAGUAACUGUUAAAAUGUAAACUUCACUUUGGUCAUGUAAACAUUUGAAUUAUACAAGGGAAAAUUUGUGUGUCUACCGUAUAAUGUCUCUACUUGAAGACCUGUCCAAUAUAUUUAACUUCAUCGAAAAGUAGCCAACUGGCUCUUAAAUAACCAGUUUGGAAAUAUUGUUGUCCCCAAAAAGAACAAACGAUGCACCCGAUAUGUCUGCACAAUAUGCACACCUUGGUAAUAACACUAUUGUUCGAUUAAGAAGCAGCUUUGACUUCAGUUCUACUCUUUACUUUAUAAUCCUGGUACCUUUGAUUUAAAGAAAACACCAUUCUAAAUCUGAAAAAAAAAACGACAAUUUUAAUUCUCUCUAAAUCAUCAAAAUGGAGAAACUCGAACAAUCUUUCGAACUACCUGAUUAAAUGUCUGGUCAUUAUUUGCACCUUCACCUUAAGAUUACAAAGUAGCCUUUCCUGACCAUCAAGUUGGACUCCUUCGAUACGUUUAAUUAUUUAGUCUUGUCUUAGUAAAAAAAGAUGAUUUCAGUCAAUGCUACAUCAUCCCUAUACAUAUCAAUACUGGAAUUAUUCAGUGUAAUUAAGUACUAGGAAUUCAUUGAUUUUGGAACACUUUUUUGAUAGUAAAAGAAUACAAAUUCCAAAAGAGGGACGAAAGAUACCACGGGGACAGUCAAACUCAUAAAUCGAAAAUAAACUGAAAAAUGAAAAAGACAAACAGACAAACAAUAGUACACAAGACACAACAUAGAAAACUAAAGGAUAAACAACCCUUAUCGCAUCAAACACUAGGGGUGAUCUCAGGUGCUCCGGAAGGGUAAGCAGAUCCUGCUCCACAUAUGGCACCCGUCGUGUUGCUAUGUAAUAACAAAUCCUAACCUUCCUUAACGCGCAUCUGGCGUAUAUACUAAAUUUAGUCCUGGUAUCUAUGAUGAGUUUAUUUACAAACUAUAUAUUCAAAAAAGGCAUUCAGUACAUUGUUUGUGGCAUUCGUAUGAUUGUUCUUUUCUGUUCUGAUUUGAACAUUCAUCUUUAAACAUGAUCCCAGGACAGGUGUAUCGAUAGUUUUUUAUACCAUUGUUUCAAUAUUAACAACAUAUUGGUUUAUGAUCACUGAAAUCUGCAAAAAGAAAAGGUUUGGUAAGACCAUUAUGUGUCCCUUUAUAACGAUUACAUACAGUUAUGUAAAUCAUUUAAACAAAUGAAAUGUUCAGAUGAUAACAGUAGUGAUACACUAUAAUAAUUUUUCCUUCAUAUUUUUGCUUUAGGUUUUCAAUAUUUUUACAUUCAAUGAAACUAUUGAAAUUCAAUAAAUGUUUUAUUUUCAUGUCUUUCAAGCUUUUUGAAUUCAAGGAAAUUGUUAAAAUGCCAAAAACUAUUUUAAGUCUUAUAGUGAAAAUUUCAAAAUGUAGAAUAGGUUUCCCAAAGAUAUAUUGGUCUACAAGAAUACUCGAGAAUAUAUGAUGCUGAUGGGAAGCAAGAUAAUUUUUUCCAGUGAGCUUUUACCUUACUAUAGGGAAAAAUAAAAUUUGGAAAUUGAUUUCUUUUUAAAUUGUUCAAAAAUUUGUGAAGACACACACUAGUUGCUUUUCACCUAUAAUCAAUGAAGGCUUUAUUAAUUCAGAUUGAUAAACAUAUUCAAGAAAUAUUGACUAUCUUUGUUAGGGGUCACGUACUUGUUUAGGAAGAUUAAAAAGUCUGAAAUAAUUACAGAGCAACAGAAAAACCAUUAAUGAUUUAUAAAUUAAAGGUUUGAAAAAAAUCUUGUUUUUUUCCAUAAAAUAUUGUAAUGGAAUUCAUUGUUACUUAUAUUGAUCUCUCCCCGGGAUAACAAUGGUAACAUUUCUUCCAACCGGAAGUAACUAACUUAAUAUGUCCGUUGCCUGAUUGGUUUACGUAGUAAUCUCACGUGUAGUUUUAUAUUUAUGGAAUUUAUUCCGGAAAUAGUUCUUGAUUCAUAAGAUAGAGAUUUUCCAGAAUAAAUUAAGAAAUUAUGAAAGCUGCUAGUUCGAUUUUUUUUUCCUUUUCAUAUCAUUGUUUCAAUUAUUAAUAGGAACCCGUCACAUACUUCGACUCCUGGUAUUUAAAAGCAAGAAGAUUCUUAAUCAAAAACUAUAUCUUAUUCGACAACAAGAUGUACCAAAAGGAAGAAUGAUUCACUUAUCAAAUUAACUUUCAGAGUCAAAUUCCAGUAUUUCAACGCUGAUUUCCAAUAUACUCAUGGAUGUCAUUCGGUUUAACGCGAGAAAUGAUCGUGAAGAAUAUCUAACGACGGUCAAGUAUUGGGUGACGAUCGUGAAAGCUCUGGUACCAGAUCAUGAAAGACAUUUAAUGUUAAUGCUAGUUCAGAAUCUGUGAAAAAAUCGCUUAAUUUUCAAAACGCGGAACAAAUCCGAACAAAAAAUGUGUCUGUCAAAAUGAUCCAACUUUCUCAAAAUUACUGUGCAAUAAGAUAAAGAAAAUAUGCAGUACUUUAUGAAAAAACACAAAAGGCGCAAUGCAUGUCUACGGAAUUAAUUAAAAAGAACACGCAAAUUGUACCUAUAAUGAUCAUAUUUCAUAAUAUCAUGAUAUAUUUGGAAUUUAAUCUUUGAUGUAUCUGGUAGUACAGUAAAAUAAAAGUAUACUCUUCCCUUUAAAGCGUUUAUUUGUUUAUGAAAACCUUGAAUUUAGUUGAAUUUUCAUCAAACUUGAUCGUGAAAGAUCAUGCAACCCAUUAUUGUGAUUGUGAAAGAUAAUGCGUGACGAGACUUAAUACUAGUAAUUAGAAAUCAAUAUUUCUUUAACCGUUUGAUAUACCAGCAACUGGUUGAAUCCUGUAACUAUUUUGAUAAGGAUGAACAUUAAAGCUAUUUUUUUCAAUUCAACACUUUACUCGAAAGGUAAAAAACAACUUAAAACGUGUCAAAUCAAUGUGAAAAAUUCAGCUCUGAGAAUUGGUCUAGUAAAAUUCAGGAAGUCAACCACUAUUUAGCCAAUAUUAUGGGUAUGCAACUUUCAAACCAAAAUGUUAACCAUCAACCAAAAACCUAUAGCAAAACAGCAUCUUUCAUGAACUAUUCGAUAUUGAACGAUAACCAACAUUUUGUGCAACAGUACCUUAUUAAUUUCUAUGUAUCUUCAUAUACAACGUACAGUGUAGCAGAUGUGGAAUGAUUCCCAAUGAGAUAACUAUAUACUACAGACUUAAGAAUACUACAUCGUAAAUGCCGAAAUGUUUCGUCUGCUUUAUUCAUAAUAUUAUAUCUGUAAUAUUAAGGAUUUUUCUAGAAGUGUCAAAUACACUUAAUAUUGUCAUUGGUUCAUAAAAAGAGGGCAAAGUCAGAUUUACCAUGCCAUACAGAUCUCUACAAACAUCCUGUACACCAAAUAUAGGUGUUCCGAACUGACAAACGUAAAAGUUAUGUUUGGUCAAUUUAUCUGGAACAUAAGGUGGAAAAUAUAUGAACCCUGACGUCGCGACUUCUAUAAAAAAGAAUUUUGCAAUUGUACAGGAACUGCUUGGUUUCUUUAAACGGAUAUCGCAUUGAUAUUGUUGAGGGUGUACUCCAUAACCUCAAAAUGUCCGAAAACAAUAAUAUGCAAUUAUUUGAAAAGUCAAACUUCUUAUUUGCUAUAAGAUUGAACAACAUCAAAAGAUACCAUAGGAAUUCAAACCUUGCUAUUUCUUUAAUUGCAAUUGGCAAUAACUUCACAAUUUUAUUCAUUUCCACAUCAUCUUCACAAUAUUCUUGUGUUGUUUCUGCUGUUUAUUUGGCUCAUCUACACUGGAUUGCUUUUUUCGGCGUUUUGUUGACCAUUGUCUUUUCUUAUUGCCGAGGUUGUUAUUUCUUUUUAAUAUGAAAAUGCUUAAAUUAUUUGAGGAUCUUUGAUAAUCUAAUUUUUCUCAAGAUUAAUAACAAAUAUUAAUUAUCGUAUAAUUGAAGAAUAAUUUUAACGUCUUCGUAGCAUCAGAUCUUUCACGAUUCUUUUCACGAUCUUCAAAAAGCGGUACGUGAUCUUUCACGAAUCGAAAAAACAAUUUUGUGUAAAUAUUUCUCUUUUUACCAAGUUUAAGAUUAUGUUUAUACAAAAUAACUAUGAGAACCAUUUGAUUGAUUCAAAUAGAAUGCCCUUAUUCGGAUAAAGGUGGUUUAUUUUAUUCGAAUUUGUAAAAACUAAUGUUUGUUUACAUUUUUAUGUCAUUGAAAUGUCGAGAAGCAAUCUACCUUUUGUUGUUUUUUAAAAACUAUGUACUUUUAAAACUGGAUUUUCUCACAUACUGAUCAUAAUGUUGAACUAUUUUGACAGACAGUUUUAUUUUGUUAUAAAUUUGUCCGUGUUAUUAAAUAAAUAAGAUUAUUUACUGAUCUUUCAUAUGUAUUCUCGAUUAAAUGUCUUUCACGAUUCGGUAUCAGAGCUUUUACGAUCGUCUCGCAAUACUUGACCACCAUUAGAUAUUCCUUCAUGAUCAUUUCUCUUGUUAAACCGAAUGACACCCGUGAUACUAGUACUAUAGUAAUUAAUCUAUUGAUCAUUUUCAAUAGGUUUAUAUGUUGUUUUUCUUGAAGCUGUACUGCUCCGGUUUUAAAAAGUGUCAGACCUUUACCAAAGAUUGCAAGAAAACCUCAUGGGAUUUCGUUCAGCCAAUAAUAAAACACGUUUUUUGUGUGUGGAAUAAAAGUCUUCUAAAGCAUGCACUAUCGAUGAUAUACUAGUACAUUAAUGUCUCAACCAGAAAUGUGUCUUUAUUAAAGAUUAUAACAUUCUCCUUGUUGACCUAUCUAAUCACUCUCUAAUUACAACAUUCCUAAUUUUAAAUCUUCUUGAUACAAACUAUGAUAGAACUCUAUGGUACACGUGAUUAUGUAUCAAAAGGCUAACUGUACAACAAUAAAUUACCUGCUUAAGAUUCAGUAUUGUUCGGUUUUGAUCACCUUCUGUUGUUGGGUUUAUACCUCAUUGAGUUGGUAUCAUGAACAAAGGCAAUAGUAUUAUACCGGUGUUCCAAAGUCAUAAACCGAUUGUUAGAAAACAAAUCCCGCUUACAGACUAAAACCGAGGGAAACACAUCAACUAUAAAAGGAAAACAAAGGAACAACAGUAGCACUGAAUAAAACAUAAAAUCACAAAAUUACUGAACUCCGAUGAAAAUCAAAAAAAGAAAGUCCCUAAUCAAUUGACAAAAUACAGGCAUUUUCUUAUGUGGAUUGACCAUGGUUUUAAACUAGCUCAACCUCUCACUUGUAUGAAAGUCACAUCAAAUACCAUUAUAUUGAAAACGAAGUGCAACAAAAACAAACGCCAACAGUGUUAGAAACGGACUACCAUAUUCCUAACUUGGUACAGGGAAACUUUAAGAAAAAUGGUAUCAUGUCUUUUUUCUGCAAAACUCGAAAUGUUAUGCUUUUGAUUCCUAUUUUUUAAGACAAAUUUACUAUCAUAACAACCCCUUCCGUUUAAAAAGUUUUGAAUUAUCGUGCAUAUAAGGUUAUCGUUUAAUAUUUUCAAUUGUCUUAGACUUUGUUAACAACAGUUUCUGUUUAUCAUGUAUCUAUGUAAUUAUUGAUAUUGUAUUUACUUAUCCUUACCCUAAUCAGUGUUGAAUUCCAAACAGGAUCCAUUAGAAUCUUUGAGAAAAUAAACCUUUGCAUAUCUAAUACAAACUUAUAGCUUUUCGUUUUUGCAGAGAUGAUUGUCCAAAAAAAAGGGGACGUAAGGGAACGUUAAGUAUCAGACAACAAGUUAUAUAGAGGCAGAAGCCUACCUUAAAAUGAAACACUUUAUCGGCAGAAGUAGUGAUGUGUUUAAUAUACAUACUUCAAAAGGAAGAGGCCGAUUUCUGUUGAGCCGCAACUCUUCUGAAACCAUACAAAGUCGGAAAAAUUGUUAUAUGACGUAAAAGAGUUGUAAAGUAGUAAUGUAGACGGUAUUGAAUCCUUUCUUUUAGGAAACACGUCAAUUAGAUGAUGAUCAAGAUGACUGAAAAAAAUGCCAGAUAUAGAUAAUUCUGAAGAAAAAAACCCAAUUCUAGUCGGAAAAAAUGAAAACAGGCAUGGAAGAUAUAGAAACAAGAAAUAACUAUCAACACAACAGACCAAUACUCAAAACAGCG